UCCCCUCCGGGACCAGCACCCCGCAGGCCAACCGCUGUUCCCCCUCUUGCGGACACUCCUGGUUCCUCUAACCUCUGGACUCUCUUCCCAGUAACUAACCUCUUACUGGACCUCCUCCCCGGGAGCCUAGGCUGCGCACCCUCUGGGUGUUUGAGGUCCUCUCCCCAGAACCCCAGACCUCCCACUCUCUCGGAUCCCACCUCCUUUACCACUGAACGUGGCCACGGGAGUCCAACUACCUACCCGGACUGUUCCCUCCGCCAACUCUGGCGCUAGCCGGGUGAGGGAUUGGGUUGGAUAGCUGCAGGACAACAGGGGCGGUGAGGGGCAGAAAUUAUAGAGCCCCCGUGGGCACCUGGGCCUCGAACCAGAGGCCAUUUAGGACUGCUUGACCUGGUGGAGGUGGCCUGGCUGGCGACUCUUGAGAGGGGGAGGGGGCGUCCCCUUCCCGGGCGUGGCCUUUCGCAGACCAACGGGCCGAACUGCCUGGGGCGAGGCCGUGGAGACCCGGACUGGCGCCAGCGCCGGCUCGAAGGAGACGCCUCCGGGCAGGAGGAGGCUUUUUUUUUUUUUUCCCCUCUCCUCUUGGGGUGGGGGGGAGUCCUUAAGGCGGCCCCUGGAGAGAUGGAGAUGGUGGUCUGAGAACUCCAUUCCCUAAGUCACCUGGAACUGCUCUCCACAAGCCUCCAGCCCAGAGAUCCAGCUCUGGGUGAAGUGGGCCGGCUGCACUAAUCUCUUUGCUCUCUCCCAUUGUACAGACGGAGGACACCGAGGCUCGAAGGGAGCCUUUAGCCCAGGAGGGGUGUUAGAAACAAAAAAAUUUGGGGGCACUGAGACAGGUGCGGGGGUGGGGCGGUGACAGGGAGUAAUCGACAUCCUCCAGCCCUCUCCCCUCGGGUCCACUGCUCUCGGGAUAGAAGCCCAGAGGGAUCCUGGAUGGGUCCGAAGCAGGAGGAAGGGCAGGGGUCCUGGCCACCCCAGGGACGGUGGGGGGAGGGGCAGCAGGAUUGACAGUCGGUAAUUGGGUAACUGGAGGCGGCUUCUCCGGCCGGGCAGCCCCGCCACCGCGACGCCGGGCCCCUGACGUCACCCGAUUCGCCAGGAAAUGAACUUUUUAAUAAUCCGAGGAGGGAGGAAAGCCCUCGGUCCCCUCAGCUCGGGGGGCACCCGGCCAGGCCCAGCUCCGCCUGCGCGCCCCGGUCACCCUCUCCCAAGGCCAGCUCUGGGCAGUGGCCGGGGUUGGGGGCCUCCUCCUGCCUCUGCGACCGGCUAUCUGUUCGUCUGUCUGAGGCCCCGGCUCAGGUAAAGGCACGGGGCCGGGGACGCAGAGCCCCAGUCAGCUGGGAAUCCGCGGGUCUCCGGCCCUUGGGGACUCGUUUGCCCUGGCCGCCCGCUGCGCCUCCCACCACGCUCCACUCCAGGGCGCGCGGGGCCCGGGUUUCUCGGAACUCCGCUCCUUGGGAGAAGAGGCCGGACGCCUGCCCGGUAAGGCGCAGCGGGGCCGGGAACCGGAGCUCGAGACCGAGGCGCCCGGCCUCGGCAGCUGGACUGGGCAGCUUACAAUUCAUCAACGCAUAAAAGGCGGUCGCCACGAAGCCUCCAGCCUCUUUUGCCGCCGCGGAGCCCAGCAGGAGCUUCCCAAAGACAACGCGUCCCCAAGGACAAUCCCCCGUGUCCGGCAAGUCUGUCCUGCUGGAGCCCAAACCCCAGGACUCAGCGCAGGAGGGCCCCCGACCCGCUGGCCGGCCGCGAGGCGGUGAGCGCCGGAGCCGAGCGGAAGCUUUCCGCCAGGCUGCGAUCGGCGCCUCGGCUCGCAGGGAGGUGGCCGUUCCCAGCCCUUGGGAAAACAGGUUCUAACCGCCACCGCCAAGCCCGACAGACAGGGGCCCUGCUGAGACCUGCAGACAAUCCGGCUGCGUUUCACCCUCCUCCACGAACUGCCACGGUUUGCCCAGAAGCCCGCCGGCCCCGCGGCCCGGCAGCAUGACAACUGGUAAAUCGUUUCGUUAGACGCAAUUUGUUUGCAAUUUGUCAUCCCGGCUGGGAAACGCUCUCCAGACGCCUGGGCAGCCGCAAUGGCCCUACCUGCUUCUCCAAUCUUGCCUACUCACGAAGGAAGCCCAGCCUGAGGUGCCUGCGUAGACCCAGAGCUUUCUGCCAGAUGUCCCGAGAGAGACGUGGCUUUUUCCAAAACAACGAAUUUCCUUCCGUGUUUUCCGGGAAAGGAGCGGUCGCUACAUCCGGGGGCCCUGAACGUCAGACCUUUUCCCUCACAGUUGGGGCAACCUGGAGUUCAAGCCUGGCCGCCGCCAAAGGAUUCUAAAUGCCCUGGGUCCAGACAGACCCAGACCGCCGCCGUCGGCGCCUCCCGGCGGCGAUCCCCGCGCCCGCGACGGCUCCAUUCUUAUUGAAAUCCCACUAAAAGGAUUCCGACUCUGGGGCAGGGGGGAGACUUCCAGACCUUGUGCUCUCCCCCACCCGCACCCCAGUCACACAGGAUAAAGGGCGGCGGGGCGCGGCGCGCGGGGGCGCACGCAGGAGCGCGCCGGGUUAAGCCGCGCAAAGCCGGCGCACGGGACCAGCCGGCAGGUGCAGCCGCCGAUCGGCGGCCCGGCUCGGGCGCAUCGCCGCCGAGGCCCGAAGGUGGGGGGCGGCCGAGACAAAGGGCCCAGCUCUGGGGCUGGGAGGCGGCGGCGGGGCGGGGGGAGCUUUGCGUCUCUUGAAAUAACCGUGGCUCGCGGCCUGUGGCUCCGUCCGAGAAAUGGGAAGGCGGGAGGCUCGAGGCGGGCCUGUGGUCCCCAAUUCCCCAAACACUCCCUCUGACCUGGGGUUCCAGCCGCCGGUAGGGCCAGGGCGAGCCCUAAAGGCCGCAUGUCAGGGACCACUGUUCCAGGCGCACCGCGUGACUAGGGAGCCAGGUGGACCGGCCUGGGAGCUGGAAAGGCCCUGGCGAGGCGGAGAAGGGGCGACUUACCGAGCGAGUUGCAGCGGGCGGCGCCCCCGGGCGGACUGAGCUGGGGCGGAGCGGGGAGUACAGCGAGAUGCCUGGCGAGAGGGACCCACAGGACCCCGCGCGGGUUGACGGCGUUCACCAGCAGGGCCCGGGAGGCACGCCGAGCGGCCUCAUGGUGGUCAGAGUGCCGCUUUUGUUCGCCGGGUGGACAACGGGGGCUGACUGGGGUGGGGGCGAUGGCAGCCAGGAGAUAGAGACUUCAGCGGCAAGUCGGGCGGCAGCGUUUGGCCCUGCCACCUCCCUCCUGCUGCCUCUCCCUCCCCUCCGGCUGCAGCGGCUCUGCUUUUAUUUCGACAGCACUUUGAGGGGGCGGGAGCGCCGCAGGGGGGCAGGAGGGUGCCCGGGGCUCUGCGCCCGGUCUCCCUAGUCCAGCCGCCGGGCGGCGGGCCGAGGGCCGGUAGGAACUCUGGGCGCACACACCCUACUCGCCUCUACACACGCAUCCCUGCUGUUAGGGAUGCGCGCUCAGAAUGCCCGGGCGUCUCUCCGGAGACUCUCUCCCUGAGGACCUCGAGAGCCGUGGGCACACACGCUCACACACAAACGCCCGCCCCUCUUCUACUAACCUGCCUGCGGGAGUGCUCACACAGCCGCACACAUAUCUGUGUACACACAUCAGCACUACAGCUGUGGCCGUGUGGGCAUCCUCUGGAGUUCUGGGUCACACAAACAUACCUGCACACACUCAAAGGUAGCCUGACCCUCUGGCGCACGCCCAUACAAACACACACACAUACAGCUCCCCAAUUUACAGGCUGAUUUGGCUAGUGUAGACAAAGCCCCCUUCCUUCCCCACCCAAGCUCCCCAACUCAAGAGUAUACCAGAGCACUUGAAAAGUGGAGUUUGAGGUAUCUCUCCGCCCGCCCCAAAGGAACACUCAUGUGGGAGGGAAGAAGGGAGUGAAGGGCUUGUCCUUGGAAGGCUGGGUGGAGGAACUGGGGUAUGGGAGUCUUCACCCCAAGAAACUUCUGGUUUGGGGAGCUAGGGAAGUCCUUGAACUUCCAAAAUUCCUACCGGGAGAUUCGGUUCAACCUGGCAGCUGGAGUCCCAUUCCACUUGCCCAGGGAGUGAGAGUGCCUUGGGGACCUUGGGCCCAAACAGAAAGUUCUUAGGGGCUCAGGUGCACUCAGAGAGGAGGUGCAUUGGUCUGCCAGCUCUGUGGGCACCUGCUGCUUGUGGGUCUGUCUUUGAAGCUGGUGGUGACUGCUGCCUGUUCACAGACUGUGCUGAGUGCCGGUGUGUGUCUGUGCAUCUGUGGGCACAUGGGAGGUCUGCAAACUAAGUCUGUUAGCAUGUCCAUUUCUUCUUAUGAGUUCCCGAAAUUUGUGCAUCGUGUGUGUGAUGGUUUCAGAAUAUAUCUGUGGAAGUGGAUGUGUGCCCCUGUGGCUGUGCAUCUGUGAGAUCAUUGUGUCCACAAAUCCUAUGAUGGGAAGUGGGUAUUUCCAAGUGUUUGGCUAUAAAUUGGUGUGUGACUCUGUGUGGGUCAGUAGUAGCAUUUUGCUGGAUAUCCUGUGUCAAUGAAUUGGGGGGUUGUCUGCCUGUCUAUCUGUAACGGGGGGAGGGUGUUGAGAGGGUAUCUAAGGGUGUCUGCCUAUCUGUGUGUAGCUCCGUGAACAAAUUGAUGCGUGUGGGAUGUUUGUGUAUCUGGGGCGUGGGCAUCUGUGGAUAUGAAUGUAUCUUUGAAUUAUGUGUUUCUCUACCCAAUGUUACUCUGUGUCUAUGGUCUGUGUUGGAGCAUGUCCCUGGGUGACACAGUACGUGUGUCUUCCCAGUUUGCCCGUCAUCCACACCUUUCCUAACCAUCAGGGCAGGCAGCCAGUGGAGCUCCGGGGUGCCAUUUGUGAGGGCACUUUCUGUCUGUCUGUGGGAGGGGGAGAUGAGCUGAUAAGGCUUAUCUGCCUAAGCCAGCGCCAUGCUGAAUAACUGCUCUAAUGAGGUGGCCUCACUGGGACCAUCCGCUCCCAAGGCCCCCAGUCUCCUGGGAGGGGGCAGGGGAGCCAAUUCUGGGGCACAGGAGCACACCCCCAAAAGCCUAGCAGGGGCUGUGUCUGUGGGGCCUUUCCUAGUUCUGCCCUGUUUCCUUGGAGAGAGGUUCCAGGUCUUACACUCCACACCCCACUCACCAUCCUCCUGCUGGGGUGAGCUGGCCAGAGCCAGCUGGAGCCUUCCAGCCUCUGGUCAACAGUCAGGAAGACUUGAGAGGGCAGGAGAUGUGGGGCCCUCUGGGGACAGUGGGGGUGGGGGGAGAGACAUGGAUAUUCUAUGAUGGAAAGACCCAGAGAGAUGGGUAAGGUGGAAGAGACAGGGAGAGGCAAGGGCAGACUUUAUAAAGCAACAGCGAUAGAAGGACAGGGGUUGGCGGUGGAGGGGUGGGCUGGGACGUUCAGGGACAGAGAAAAACAACUAAAAAUUGGCAGAAAGGGUCAGGGAGAUGGGAGCACAAGCAGUUAAAAUGUUAACUAGAGAGAGUCAGGGACAGAGCCAAGAGAGAUACAGAGAGGAGAAAGCAAGAAAUGACAAAAAUAAAGAUGGGAAGAGAGAAGAGAAUCCAGAGGGGCUCAAAGCCCUUGGUGGGGGGAGAGAGAGGGACACGAAAGAUGUACCGGACAGACUGAAGCAGAGGGGCAACCAGGGGCUCCGCACCUCCCAGCGCCACGGGAUCACGCAGGGCGGCGGGUCCGGCGGGCGCGAGCGCGGAGCCCGCGGGCCGGGCGGGGCACCGAGGCGCGGGCGGCGGCGGCGGGCAGGGGGGUCCGCGCGGGGCUAUGCCGCUGUCCGGGGUAAUUUUUCAUCUCGGCCGGCUAAUCUUUGUUCCCGGCGAAGAUAAUGAAUAGCCAAUCGUUAUCUGCCCGGCUCCCGGAGGCUGCCCGAGAAUGGGGUUGUACAGGGCUGGGAAUUGUUUCCAAAGUGCCGCGGAAUAAAUGGUGUUCCUUAUCUCUGCCUUCCAGAUUAUCGGAGCCCUUUCAGAGAGCGCACAACAAAUGCGCCCGCCAUCGAAUGCAUCAUUUACCACCGCAGAUCCGAGCGGUGAUGGGCAGGCAGAUAGCCGUCCGCGGGGGGCACUCGGGCGUCCGACCGCCUGCCUGCUGGGGGCACCCAAGUAUGCGGCCCAGGGUGUGCCUGGCCUAUUUGGAUGGACAGGCGGGUGUGCCAGUGGAUGAGCACUGAACAAGCAAGGGUGCAGUGCGUGGGGGCACGUCAAACAAGUGUGAGACAAGAGUGCCUGGGGAUGGACCUGGUAAGGCUGUUUGGCCGUGCACAGAGGAAGGGGUGUUACACGUGAAUGUAAGAAGGAGCAGGUGUCCAGGUCCAUAUGUCCAAGUAUGGUGGCUGUGGUGCUGUGAGCACCUCCAUGCGUCUGCCCUCCAAAGGCCAUCUAGGAGUGCACACAGGAGGUGAUGUUGCCUUCCACCAGGGCUGGUGUGUGUGUGCGUGACUUCAAGAAUGAGUGUGUUACUCUCCUGAGUGUCCUGUGCCUGCAGGUGCUCGGGGCCACGAAUCCUCAUAGGCAUGUCCAUACAUGCACCCCUGCGACUGCCAGAAGUGAGUGUGCACCCAGCAUGUGCCUCAGGGUAUGCAUAGAUUUACAUGAGGGUGGCUGUGUCAUUCUGUAUCUAUCUGCCCAGAUGUGCUCUGGGCGAGGGGGAAAGAGGGGCAAGGGAUCAGAGGCCUGUCUCUGUGCCUGCUUGUGCCUGGGUCCCCCUCUAGCUUGCAAAGAGACAGCCAGAGGAACAGAAUGGUGUGUGCAGGUGUGAUAAGACGCUGAGGUGGAAGGAGUGGGAUGUGCUGCGUCACAUGAGUGCUUGUGACCCAAACAGGGUGUGCGGGUGUGUAAGAAAGAGGGGUCUUCCGACGAGUUUGGCAACACCAAAGAAUCCCAACCUAGCUCAGAGGGCACGAGUUCCCAGGGGCCCCAGAGCCUCCUCGCUCUAGACCUAAGGUAAGGGAGACCGAAGUCCCGAAGCCAGAGUGAGUCCCCGCGCGGUGAGUGACACGCACCGCCGACAAAGGCUGUGUAUUUUUCCGGGCUUGUGCGUGUCUGCGCGCGCGCGCACGCGGGCGCGCGAUGGUCCCCAUGGCGACGCAGAUAGCGCUGCAGCCAUUUUCCCUAUCUCUCGGGAGUCUAUUAUACCGCGGGAUUAGCUCAUCUCCAGGCAGGUCAAACCCAAAGUCACACAACCUGCGGCGCGGGCCCCGCCCCCCUCCCCAGCGCGGGCGGGAUCUCAGCUCCGCGACGCCCCCGAGCGGCGGCCGGUGCGCAGGCGCAGAGCGCCACCUGGCGGCCUCGGGCCUCCGACUGGGGUCUCGCGGAGCCGGCCGCGGCCAGGGCAGGAGUCGCUUGGGCAGAAGUGGGCCGGUCCCUUCUCAGAGGAGCUGGGCUCUCCAGAUAGGGGGCCUUGUUCUGACACUGCUGUGUCCCCAGGGCCAGGCUGUCACUCAGUAGAUGUUCCGUAAGAGUUUGUUGAAAGGAUGGAUGGAUCGGCAGUAAAUUAUAGAUGCGGCAAAUUGUCAAUGGCCACGCAGCUUAUUUGGCAGCGAGAAAUCAUUUCUUAAAACGUACUCUCUGAACUUAGAAUAAAAGCCAACUUCCUUUGGAA
Phacochoerus africanus (Common warthog) is the source of this 7612-nucleotide long non-coding RNA. RefSeq lists it as uncharacterized. NCBI's taxonomy places the organism in Eukaryota, Metazoa, Chordata, Mammalia, Artiodactyla, Suidae. The record is from RefSeq and is a predicted model, not a curated record. The transcript has 3 exons.